UUAUCGGAAAUAAGGAAAAAAGCGGUGUUUAGAAUAGAAAGAAAAAGAGUUCAAAAGACGUUCCUAAAAUUCUCAAGUGGUCCUCACUUUUGUGCUCUCUUAAUUAAUCCUUGAAAGGGUAGAAGGAGGGCUCAUCUUGAAUCUUUCAUUCCAAUUUCUUUUCCCACAAACAAUAAAAUGCAUAAUACCUAAUGAGCUUUU
Non-coding RNA from Caenorhabditis elegans, 201 nucleotides. The record is from Ensembl. Lineage: Eukaryota; Metazoa; Nematoda; Chromadorea; Rhabditida; Rhabditidae.